Molecule: ribosomal RNA, 371 nt
Filed under: uncultured bacterium
Lineage: Bacteria
Description: bacterial SSU rRNA
Rfam family: Bacterial small subunit ribosomal RNA
Source: RNAcentral
GAUUAACGCUGGCGGCGUGCCUAACACAUGCAAGUCGAACGAGGUAGCAAUACCUAGUGGCAGACGGGUGAGUAACGCGUGGUCAACCUACCGUUGAGUGGGGGAUAACUAGCCGAAAGGUUAGCUAAUACCGCAUACGUCUCCGAGUGGCAUCACUUGGCGAUAAAAGGAGCAAUCCGCUCGAUGACGGGACCGCGUCCCAUUAGCUAGAUGGUGGGGUAACGCCUACCANGGCACCGAUGGGUAGCUGGUUUGAGAGAGCGACCAGCCACACUGGGACUGAGAAACGGCCCAGACUCCUACGGGAGGCAGCAGUGAGGAAUUUUCCGCAAUGGGCGCAAGCCUGACGGAGCGACGCCGCGUGUGGGAAG